GACGAACCUUGCGACCGUUGUUCGGAAUCACUGGGCUUAAAGGGCGCGAAGGCGGACGACCAAGUCGGGGGUGAAAUCUUUCGGCUCAACCGGAAAAUAGCUUUCGAUACUGGCCGUCUUGAGCGAGGUAGGGGCAUGCGGAACUUCCGGUGGAGCGGUGAAAUGCGUUGAUAUCGGAAGGAACUCCGGUGGCGAAAGCGGCGUGCUGGACCUCUUCUGACGCUGAGGCGCGAAAGCUAGGGGAGCAAACGGG
RNAcentral lists this ribosomal RNA (253 nucleotides) under uncultured bacterium. Its description in RNAcentral is "partial 16S ribosomal RNA". It matches the Rfam family "Bacterial small subunit ribosomal RNA", at positions 524 to 776 of the family's 1533-position model. The record is from RNAcentral.